AACGUAGGAGGCAAGCGUUAUCCGAAUUUACUGGGCGUAAAGCGUGUGCAGGCGGUUCGGUAAGUUGGAUGUGAAAUCUCUUGGCUCAACUGAGAGAGGUCGUUCAAGACUGUCGGACUAGAGGGCGAUAGAGGGAGGUGGAAUUCCCGGUGUAGCGGUAAAAUGCGUAAAUAUCGGGAGGAACACCUGUGGCGAAAGCGGCCUCCUGGGUCGUACCUGACGCUCAGACACGAAAGCUAGGGGAGCGAACGGG
RNAcentral lists this ribosomal RNA (253 nucleotides) under uncultured Leptolinea sp. RNAcentral's name for it is "partial 16S ribosomal RNA". It matches the Rfam family "Bacterial small subunit ribosomal RNA", at positions 524 to 776 of the family's 1533-position model. The record is from RNAcentral. Lineage: Bacteria; Bacillati; Chloroflexota; Anaerolineae; Anaerolineales; Anaerolineaceae.